Molecule: RNase P RNA, 319 nt
Filed under: bovine gut metagenome
Description: Bacterial RNase P class A
Rfam family: Bacterial RNase P class A
About the family: Ribonuclease P (RNase P) is a ubiquitous endoribonuclease, found in archaea, bacteria and eukarya as well as chloroplasts and mitochondria. Its best characterised activity is the generation of mature 5'-ends of tRNAs by cleaving the 5'-leader elements of precursor-tRNAs.
Source: RNAcentral
CAUAUAGCCGAAAGGCUGUGCGGGAGGAAAGUCCGGGCUUCACAGGGCAGGAUGCCGGCUAACGGCCGGCGGAGGUAACUCCAGGGCUAGUGCAACAGAGAUAUACCGCCUGUCUUCGGGCAGGUAAGGGUGGAAAGGCGGUGUAAGAGACCACCGUUUCUGUGGUAACACAGAAAGCCAUGUAAACCCCAUCCGAAGCAAGACCGCAAAGGGACAUAAGGCUGCCCGUCUGUUCCAGGUAGGUCGCUUGAGGCCUGUGGCAACACAGGUCCUGGAUAGAUGGCCAUGCAACGACAUAACCCGGCUUAUCGAUCUACCU